Molecule: ribosomal RNA, 497 nt
Filed under: uncultured bacterium
Lineage: Bacteria
Description: partial 16S ribosomal RNA
Rfam family: Bacterial small subunit ribosomal RNA
Source: RNAcentral
GAUGAACGCUGGCGGCGUGCCUAAUACAUGCAAGUCGAGCGAACGGACGAGAAGCUUGCUUUUCUGAUGUUAGCGGCGGACGGGUGAGUAACACGUGGAUAACCUACCUAUGAGACUGGGAUAACUUCGGGAAACCGGAGCUAAUACCGGAUAAUAUUUUGAACCGCAUGGUUCAAAAGUGAAAGACGGUCUUGCUGUCACUUAUAGAUGGAUCCGCGCUGCAUUAGCUAGUUGAUAAGGUAACGGCUUACCAAGGCAACGAUGCAUAGCCGACCUGAGAGGGUGAUCGGCCACACUGGAACUGAGACACGGUCCAGACUCCUACGGGAGGCGGCAGUAGGGAAUCUUCCGCAAUGGGCGAAAGCCUGACGGAGCAACGCCGCGUGAGUGAUGAAGGUCUUCGGAUCGUAAAACUCUGUUAUUAGGGAAGAACAUAUGUGUAAGUAACUGUGCACAUCUUGACGGUACCUAAUCAGAAAGCCACGGCUAACUACGUG